RNAcentral lists this ribosomal RNA (729 nucleotides) under uncultured bacterium. RNAcentral's name for it is "bacterial SSU rRNA". It matches the Rfam family "Bacterial small subunit ribosomal RNA", at positions 771 to 1500 of the family's 1533-position model. The record is from RNAcentral.
AACAGGAUUAGAUACCCUGGUAGUCCACGCCGUAAACGAUGUCGACUUGGAGGUUGUGCCCUUGAGGCGUGGCUUCCGGAGCUAACGCGUUAAGUCGACCGCCUGGGGAGUACGGCCGCAAGGUUAAAACUCAAAUGAAUUGACGGGGGCCCGCACAAGCGGUGGAGCAUGUGGUUUAAUUCGAUGCAACGCGAAGAACCUUACCUACUCUCGACAUCCAGAGAACUUAGCAGAGAUGCUUUGGUGCCUUCGGGAACUCUGAGACAGGUGCUGCAUGGCUGUCGUCAGCUCGUGUUGUGAAAUGUUGGGUUAAGUCCCGCAACGAGCGCAACCCUUAUCCUUUGUUGCCAGCGGUCCGGCCGGGAACUCAAAGGAGACUGCCAGUGAUAAACUGGAGGAAGGUGGGGAUGACGUCAAGUCAUCAUGGCCCUUACGAGUAGGGCUACACACGUGCUACAAUGGCGCAUACAAGGAGAAGCGACCUCGCGAGAGCAAGCGGACCUCAUAAAGUGCGUCGUAGUCCGGAUUGGAGUCUGCAACUCGACUCCAUGAAGUCGGAAUCGCUAGUAAUCGUGGAUCAGAAUGCCACGGUGAAUACGUUCCCGGGCCUUGUACACACCGCCCGUCACACCAUGGGAGUGGGUUGCAAAAGAAGUAGGUAGCUUAACCUUCGGGAGGGCGCUUACCACUUUGUGAUUCAUGACUGGGGUGAAGUCGUAACAAGGUACC